Molecule: non-coding RNA, 148 nt
Filed under: Pan paniscus (pygmy chimpanzee)
Lineage: Eukaryota; Metazoa; Chordata; Mammalia; Primates; Hominidae
Also listed under: 1 other name
Source: Rfam by way of RNAcentral
GCCGGGUGUGGUGGCAUGCACCUGUAAUCCCAGCUACUCGGGAGGCUGAGACAGGAGAAUCGCUUGAGCCCAGGAGACAGAGGUUGCAGUGAGCGAGAGCGCACCACUGCACUCCAGCCUGGGCAACAAGAGCGAAACUCUGUCUCAA